RNAcentral lists this ribosomal RNA (464 nucleotides) under Gordoniaceae bacterium 'ARUP UnID 342'. RNAcentral describes it as "bacterial SSU rRNA". It matches the Rfam family "Bacterial small subunit ribosomal RNA", at positions 27 to 504 of the family's 1533-position model. Lineage: Bacteria; Bacillati; Actinomycetota; Actinomycetes; Mycobacteriales; Gordoniaceae. The record is from RNAcentral.
GGACGAACGCUGGCGGCGUGCUUAACACAUGCAAGUCGAACGGAAAGGCCCAGCUUGCUGGGUACUCGAGUGGCGAACGGGUGAGUAACACGUGGGUGAUCUGCCCUGAACUCUGGGAUAAGCCUGGGAAACUGGGUCUAAUACCGGAUAUGACUCUGGGAUGCAUGUUCUGGGGUGGAAAGCUUUUGCGGUUCAGGAUGGGCCCGCGGCCUAUCAGCUUGUUGGUGGGGUAAUGGCCUACCAAGGCGACGACGGGUAGCCGACCUGAGAGGGUGAUCGGCCACACUGGGACUGAGACACGGCCCAGACUCCUACGGGAGGCAGCAGUGGGGAAUAUUGCACAAUGGGCGCAAGCCUGAUGCAGCGACGCCGCGUGAGGGAUGACGGCCUUCGGGUUGUAAACCUCUUUCACCAGGGACGAAGCGUGAGUGACGGUACCUGGAGAAGAAGCACCGGCCAACUAC